Molecule: RNA transcript, 1842 nt
Organism: Solanum dulcamara
Lineage: Eukaryota; Viridiplantae; Streptophyta; Magnoliopsida; Solanales; Solanaceae
Gene name: UDP-galactose/UDP-glucose transporter 5B-like
Exons: 12
Source: RefSeq, a predicted model, not a curated record
ACAAAAAAGAGGAAAGCGGUGAAAAACCGCCGGUCUUUUCCCCCAAGUCUAAAACCUCAUUCUCCACUUCCCUCCCGGAGUAAAAAUCACCCGCGAUCUGCAGAAGUCAACUCCGGCGACCGUCCGUACACUUCUCAACCGUGAUAUAGGUGGUGGCGGCGGGUAGAUUGGAUGGGAUAUGGCGGAGCUACCAUCGCCGCCGUUGAAGGACAACAAGCUGCUCAAAGGAGUUGUUGCUGUGGGUGGAAUCACGUUUACUCUCGUCAUAUACGGAAUAUUACAGGAAAAGAUCAUGAGAGUACCUUAUGGACCAAACAAAGACUAUUUUAUAUACUCAUUAUUUCUUGUGUUCUGCAAUCGGAUUACCACUUCUGCAGUCUCUGCUGGAGUUUUACUGGUAAGUAAGAAGGCAUUGGACCCAGUAGCUCCACUCCAUAAGUAUUGUAUUGUUUCUGUGUCUAACAUCCUUACAACAACUUGUCAGUACGAGGCUCUCAAAUACGUCAGCUUUCCUGCUCAAACCCUGGCAAAAUGUGCCAAAAUGAUACCUGUAAUGAUCUGGGGUACUAUCAUCAUGCAAAAGAAGUACAAAGGACCGGACUAUUUCUUGGCAUUCCUAGUCACACUUGGCUGUUCAUUAUUUAUUCUGUAUCCGGCAGAAGGGGACACUAGCCCAUACAGUAGAGAAAGGGAGAGCACCAUUUGGGGAGUUUCUCUUAUGAUGGGCUAUCUUGGGUUUGAUGGAUUUACGAGCACGUUCCAGGAUAAACUUUUUAAAGGCUAUGAUAUGGAAAUACACACUCAGAUAUUCUACACAACCGUCUGUUCUUGUCUUCUUAGUUUCACUGGUAUGAUAUUGCAGGGCAAUCUUCUCAUGGCAAUUGAUUUCGUAUCUCGCCAUCAUGAUUGUUUCUUUGACAUUGCUCUGCUUUCGACUGUAGCAACAGCUAGUCAAUUCUUUAUUUCAUACACAAUCCGCACAUUUGGUGCUCUAACCUUUGCAACCAUAAUGACCACAAGACAGGUCAGCAGCGAUUGAGUGUCUCAGGACUAUUUUGGCACGUAUGACCUCUGUGAGCAAACUGAAAGCCCCUUCGGUAUCUUGUAUAAGACGAACUUCAUUUAAGGUAAUCUAGCUGAAGCAGAUAAACUUUGGGUGGUAAUUUUGUCCUACAUAUUAGGCCAAGAGUCAAUUAUCCCAUUUCGAGAGUGUAGCUUCUUGCAGCAUUCUUUCACAGAGAAAGUCUUGUUUUGUCCCCAGAUCAAGGAGUCAGUUGUGUCUUCAACUAUGGUGCAAGUCCGUUUGGGAAGCAGGCUUAAUAGACUAUCGACCUCCCAAUCCUGUACCAAUCUCCUGAGAUGGCAUGGAUGUCCCAGCUAUUGCCAGUUCUGUUCUGCGUGAAAGUCAUUUUUCCUUACAACUAUCUAAUCUUGACUUUAUAUUUACUUAUUUCAACUAACACUUAGACAUUAUUAUUAGUCUCUAGAAUUCAAAAGUUUCAUCAAAACACUCACCAAUUAACUGAUAUUAUUAUUAAUUUUUAUUAAAUUAUUUUUUCUGGAAAAUGUUUUUUCACUUACAAACCAAACACCAUAAUUAUUGUCAAGGAAAAUGACUUCUGUCUUACCAAAUGCACCCUUGGUAGCCUUGUGCCUAACCAAUAUUGAUGAUGCUCGAUUAAAUUGAUGUAGUUGUUGAGCAUUUUGCUGUCGUGCUUGUGGUUUGGCCAUCCCCUUAGCUGGGAGCAAUGCAUUGGAGCUGUUAUUGUCUUUGGGGCCCUUUAUGCAAGAAGCUUCUUAAAUACUAAAAAGAAACCACCAUUAACUUUGGAGAACACAGAA